GUACACGAGUGGCGAACGGGUGAGUAACACGUGGGUGAUCUGCCCUGCACUUUGGGAUAAGCCUGGGAAACUGGGUCUAAUACCGAAUAUUCCCUGCUGGUCGCAUGGCCUGGUGGGGGAAAGCUUUUGCGGUGUGGGAUGGGCCCGCGGCCUAUCAGCUUGUUGGUGGGGUGAUGGCCUACCAAGGCGACGACGGGUAGCCGGCCUGAGAGGGUGUCCGGCCACACUGGGACUGAGAUACGGCCCAGACUCCUACGGGAGGCAGCAGUGGGGAAUAUUGCACAAUGGGCGCAAGCCUGAUGCAGCGACGCCGCGUGAGGGAUGACGGCCUUCGGGUUGUAAACCUCUUUCAGUAGGGACGAAGCGCAAGUGACGGUACCUAUAGAAGAAGGACCGGCCAACUACGUGCCAGCAGCCGCGGUAAUACGUAGGGUCCGAGCGUUGUCCGGAAUUACUGGGCGUAAAGAGCUCGUAGGUGGUUUGUCGCGUUGUUCGUGAAAACUCACAGCUCAACUGUGGGCGUGCGGGCGAUACGGGCAGACUGGAGUACUGCAGGGGAGACUGGAAUUCCUGGUGUAGCGGUGGAAUGCGCAGAUAUCAGGAGGAACACCGGUGGCGAAGGCGGGUCUCUGGGCAGUAACUGACGCUGAGGAGCGAAAGCGUGGGGAGCGAACAGGAUUAGAUACCCUGGUAGUCCACGCCGUAAACGGUGGGUACUAGGUGUGGGUUUCCUUCCUUGGGAUCCGUGCCGUAGCUAACGCAUUAAGUACCCCGCCUGGGGAGUACGGCCGCAAGGCUAAAACUCAAAGAAAUUGACGGGGGCCCGCACAAGCGGCGGAGCAUGUGGAUUAAUUCGAUGCAACGCGAAGAACCUUACCUGGGUUUGACAUGCACAGGACGCCGGCAGAGAUGUCGGUUCCCUUGUGGCCUGUGUGCAGGUGGUGCAUGGCUGUCGUCAGCUCGUGUCGUGAGAUGUUGGGUUAAGUCCCGCAACGAGCGCAACCCUUGU
This 1009-nucleotide ribosomal RNA is filed under the name bacterium. Its description in RNAcentral is "bacterial SSU rRNA". It matches the Rfam family "Bacterial small subunit ribosomal RNA", at positions 87 to 1108 of the family's 1533-position model. The record is from RNAcentral.